RNAcentral lists this ribosomal RNA (382 nucleotides) under uncultured eukaryote. Its description in RNAcentral is "partial 18S ribosomal RNA". It matches the Rfam family "Eukaryotic small subunit ribosomal RNA", at positions 592 to 976 of the family's 1831-position model. The record is from RNAcentral.
UGUAAGCGUAUACCAAAGUUGUUGCUGUUAAAACGCUCGUAGUCGGAAUUUGGCAGUUCCGGAUGUGUGCACGUCGUGUGCGCACUUCGCGGGGAUUGCUUUUGUGGUCUUGCGUAGGAUGAGGCACUUUUAUUAGUGAACGUCCUCACGCAACCACUUUUUACUGUGAGAAAAUCAGAGUGCUCAAAGCAGGCAUUUGCCGUGAAUGUAUUAGCAUGGAAUAAUAGAAUAGGACUUGGUUCUAUUUUGUUGGUUUGUUGGGACUGAGUAAUGAUUAAGAGGGACAGUUGGGGGCAUUUGUAUUUCGGUGCUAGAGGUGAAAUUCUUAGAUUACCGAAAGACAAACUGCUGCGAAAGCGUCUGCCAAGGAUGUUUUCAUUGA